GCCAAGUUCAGCUGUCAGAACCUCAGAGCUGGGAAAUCUUGAGAUUUCUUUUGAAAUGCCUGAGCCUGCCCUGACAUCGCUUACCUGGAGAAGCAGGGAAUGCAGAGGAAAGAUGAGAUCUGGUAUUAGAAGAUCUGGCUUUGAGCCCCAGCUCUGCCACCCACCAGCCUGUUGACUUUGGAGAUACUGUUUCGAAUAAUUGGCUUGUUGGGGUACAAUUCACAGUUGAUAUAUUACAGGAUCUAAAUAGACAGGUAGGUUUUGUUAAAGCCCAGGACACAGGU
This 284-nucleotide long non-coding RNA is filed under the name Pan troglodytes (chimpanzee). RNAcentral describes it as "long non-coding RNA NONPTRT006104". The record is from RNAcentral. Lineage: Eukaryota; Metazoa; Chordata; Mammalia; Primates; Hominidae.